RNAcentral lists this ribosomal RNA (494 nucleotides) under uncultured bacterium. RNAcentral's name for it is "partial 16S ribosomal RNA". It matches the Rfam family "Bacterial small subunit ribosomal RNA", at positions 28 to 504 of the family's 1533-position model. The record is from RNAcentral.
GAUGAACGCUGGCGGCGUGCCUAAUACAUGCAAGUCGAGCGAACGGACGAGAAGCUUGCUUCUCUGAUGUUAGCGGCGGACGGGUGAGUAACACGUGGAUAACCUACCUAUAAGACUGGGAUAACUUCGGGAAACCGGAGCUAAUACCGGAUAAUAUUUUGAACCUCAUGGUUCAAAAGUGAAAGACGGUCUUGCUGUCACUUAUAGAUGGAUCCGCGCUGCAUUAGCUAGUUGGUAAGGUAACGGCUUACCAAGGCAACGAUGCAUAGCCGACCUGAGAGGGUGAUCGGCCACACUGGAACUGAGACACGGUCCAGACUCCUACGGGAGGCAGCAGUAGGGAAUCUUCCGCAAUGGGCGAAAGCCUGACGGAGCAACGCCGCGUGAGUGAUGAAGGUCUUCGGAUCGUAAAACUCUGUUAUUAGGGAAGAACAUAUGUGUAAGUAACUGUGCACAUCUUGACGGUACCUAAUCAGAAAGCCACGGCUAACUAC